GAUGAACGCUGGCGGCGUGCCUAAUACAUGCAAGUCGAGCGAACAGACGAGGAGCUUGCUCCUCUGACGUUAGCGGCGGACGGGUGAGUAACACGUGGAUAACCUACCUAUAAGACUGGGAUAACUUCGGGAAACCGGAGCUAAUACCGGAUAACAUGUUGAACCGCAUGGUUCAACAGUGAAAGACGGUCUUGCUGUCACUUAUAGAUGGAUCCGCGCCGCAUUAGCUAGUUGGUAAGGUAACGGCUUACCAAGGCAACGAUGCGUAGCCGACCUGAGAGGGUGAUCGGCCACACUGGAACUGAGACACGGUCCAGACUCCUACGGGAGGCAGCAGUAGGGAAUCUUCCGCAAUGGGCGAAAGCCUGACGGAGCAACGCCGCGUGAGUGAAGAAGGUCUUCGGAUCGUAAAACUCUGUUAUUAGGGAAGAACAAAUGUGUAAGUAACUAUGCACGUCUUGACGGCACCUAAUCAGAAAGCCACGGCUAACUACGU
Molecule: ribosomal RNA, 496 nt
Filed under: uncultured bacterium
Lineage: Bacteria
Description: partial 16S ribosomal RNA
Rfam family: Bacterial small subunit ribosomal RNA
Source: RNAcentral